This 443-nucleotide ribosomal RNA is filed under the name uncultured bacterium. RNAcentral's name for it is "SSU rRNA". It matches the Rfam family "Bacterial small subunit ribosomal RNA", at positions 26 to 518 of the family's 1533-position model. The record is from RNAcentral.
AGAACGAACGCUGGCGGCAGGCCUAAAAACAUGCAAGUCGAGCGCCCCGCAAGGGGAGCGGCGGACGGGUGAAUAACACGUGGGAAUGUACCUUUCGGUACGGAACAACUCAGGGAAACUUGAGCUAAUACCGUAUGCGCCCUAACGGGGAAAGAUUUAUCGCCGAAAGAUCAGCCCGCGUCCGAUUAGCUAGUUGGUGAGGUAACGGCUCACCAAGGCACCGAUCGGUAGCUGGUUUGAGAGAACGAUCAGCCACACUGGGACUGAGACACGGCCCAGACUCCUACGGGAGGUAGCAGUUGGGAAUCUUGGACAAUGGGCGCAAGCCUGAUCCAGCCAUGCCGCGUGAGUGAUGAAGGCCUUCGGGUUGUAAAGCUCUUCGCCUACGACGAUAAUGACGGUAGUAGGAGAAGACGCCCGGCUAACUUCGUGCCAGCAGCCGC